This 253-nucleotide ribosomal RNA is filed under the name uncultured bacterium. RNAcentral describes it as "partial 16S ribosomal RNA". It matches the Rfam family "Bacterial small subunit ribosomal RNA", at positions 524 to 776 of the family's 1533-position model. The record is from RNAcentral.
UACGGAGGGUGCAAGCGUUGUCCGGAAUUAUUGGGUUUAAAGGGUGCGUAGGCGGACUAAUAAGUCAGAGGUGAAAUCCUGCAGCUUAACUGUAGAACUGCCUUUGAUACUGUUAGUCUUGAGUAAAGUAUAGGUAGGCGGAAUUUAUGGUGUAGCGGUGAAAUGCAUAGAUACCAUAAAGAACACCGAUAGCGAAGGCAGCUUACUGGACUUUUACUGACGCUGAGGCACGAAAGCGUGGGUAGCGAACGGG